This 863-nucleotide ribosomal RNA is filed under the name uncultured Sulfurovum sp. Its description in RNAcentral is "bacterial SSU rRNA". It matches the Rfam family "Bacterial small subunit ribosomal RNA", at positions 662 to 1532 of the family's 1533-position model. The record is from RNAcentral. Lineage: Bacteria; Pseudomonadati; Campylobacterota; Epsilonproteobacteria; Campylobacterales; Sulfurovaceae.
UGGAAUUAGUUGUGUAGGGGUAAAAUCCGUAGAGAUAACUAGGAAUACCAAAAGCGAAGGCAAUCUCUGGAACACUACUGACGCUGAGGCGCGAAAGCGUGGGGAGCAAACGGGAUUAGAUACCCCGGUAGUCCACGCAGUAAACGAUGAAUGUUAGUCGUCGGGGGCCUCGUGUCUUCGGUGAUGCAGCUAACGCAUUAAACAUUCCGCCUGGGGAGUACGGUCGCAAGAUUAAAACUCAAAGGAAUAGACGGGGACCCGCACAAGUGGUGGAGCACGUGGUUUAAUUCGAAGAUACGCGAAGAACCUUACCUAGCCUUGACAUAUUUGAAAAUCCACCAGAGAUGGAGGAGUGCCUUCGGGAGUUCAUAUACAGGUGCUGCACGGCUGUCGUCAGCUCGUGUCGUGAGAUGUUGGGUUAAGUCCCGCAACGAGCGCAACCCUCGUCACUAGUUACUAACGGUUCGGCCGAGGACUCUAGUGAGACUGCCUUCGUAAGGAGGAGGAAGGUGAGGACGACGUCAAGUCAUCAUGGCCCUUACGGCUAGGGCAACACACGUGCUACAAUGGUUGGGACAGUGAGACGCGAUACCGCGAGGUGGAGCAAAUCUAUAAACCCAAUCUCAGUUCGGAUUGUAGUCUGCAACUCGACUACAUGAAGCUGGAAUCACUAGUAAUCGUAGAUCAGCUAUGCUACGGUGAAUACGUUCCCGGGUCUUGUACUCACCGCCCGUCACACCAUGGGAGUUGAUUUCACCCGAAGCGGGGAAGCUAAACUGGCUACCCUCCACGGUGGAAUUAGCGACUGGGGUGAAGUCGUAACAAGGUAACCGUAGGAGAACCUGCGGCUGGAUAACCUCCUU